Callithrix jacchus (white-tufted-ear marmoset) is the source of this 52-nucleotide small nuclear RNA. Its record names the gene U7. It matches the Rfam family "U7 small nuclear RNA". Rfam says of the family: Animal histone pre-mRNAs are spliced by a different mechanism than nuclear pre-mRNAs and self-splicing introns. Lineage: Eukaryota; Metazoa; Chordata; Mammalia; Primates; Cebidae. The record is from Ensembl.
GAGUGUUCUAUUUAUUUUAGAAUUUGUCUAGUAGGUUUUCUGGAAGACCUCC